RNAcentral lists this long non-coding RNA (1625 nucleotides) under Phaseolus vulgaris (common bean). Its description in RNAcentral is "long non-coding RNA (PVUL_LNC004400)". Lineage: Eukaryota; Viridiplantae; Streptophyta; Magnoliopsida; Fabales; Fabaceae. The record is from RNAcentral.
AAGGUAAGUUGUGUGUUUAUUUUCUGCAGAGGUAACAAAACCAUUGCCUGUAGCACUUUAGCUAGUUGUAAUUCUGAUCACCACCUGAUCUUUCUGAAACUGGGAGAUUUGGUUAAGAGGAGGAAUUCUUUGUCUAAUUUUUUGGCUAUGUGGAAUGAAAGAAAAGACUGCCAGAAUAUUGUUCAACAAAUCCGGAGUACUUCUGUUGCGGGUUGUCCUAUGCUUGGCUUGCAGAAAAAGCUGAAGGCACUCAAAACAGCAUUGAUUGAGAGGAAUAAAAGUACUGUUGGAAAUGUUUCUGUGCAGGUUGCUCAGUUGCAAGAAAAUCUAAAAUUCUUACAGCAGAAUAUGCUGUAGUUUGGGGAGUCGGAUAGAAAGUGUGAAAAAAAAAACAAUCCAACAAAAUAUAAGCCAGGCUUUGCAUAUGGAGGAAUUUUUUUGAUGGAAAAAGGAAGUCUAAAGUGAUGGUUCACUGAUGUGGUUUUAGAGAAGCCUGAACAUAUUGAGGAACACAUUUAGAGAAGCUUUAUAAUGCUAAUUCACAGAUUGAUCAUGAUUCCAAAUCUUGUUACCAAGAAAGAAAAUCAAAUACUUACUGCUCUUCCAUCUUUAGAAGAGGUAAAAGCUGCUAUCUUCGGUAUAAAUAAACAUAGUGCACCAUCCUAGGAUGCUUUUGGUGGUCUUUUCUAUAAAAAAUAUUGUCACAACAUAGAUAGGGAUGUUUAUGAGGCGGUCAUACAAUUCUUCACGAAAAGUUGGAUCCAUACAUGUAAGAAUUCCAAUAUUCUUAAUCUCAUUCCUAAAAUUAACAAUGUUUCUAUAAUAUCGGAUUUUUGGCCUAUUGCUUUGGCCAACGUUAGAUAUAAAAUUAUUUCUAAAAUCUUGGCUGAUAGAUUGUCUUCUGUUGCUACUAGAAUUGUCUCCAAAAAUCAAAACGGUUUUUUUAAAGGUAGGGAUAUUAAGAACUGCAUCAUUGUUGCUUCUAAAGCUGUCAAUUUGCUGAAUAAAAAAGCUUUUGGCAGUUAUGUGGUUCUCAAAGUUGAUACUAAAAGAGUUUUUGGUACUUUGAAUUGGGGAUAUCUUCUUUCUGUCUUAAAUGAUUCUGAGUUUAAUGAUAGGUUCUGUUAUUGGGUUAAAACUAUUCUAGAUUCUGCUAGCCUGUAUAUGAAUAAACGGGAGUUAUGUUGGUUUCUUUAAAUGUUAUAAGGUUGUCAGACAAGGACUUCCUCUUUCUCCUUUACUGUUAUGCCUUGCUGAAGAGGGGCUGGGAUCACAAUCUGUCAGCCAUGGGAUCUCUGCUGCAAAUGAUUAGCAAGAAAGGUAAGUUGUGUGUUUAUUUUCUGCAGAGGUAACAAAACCAUUGCUUGUAGCACUUUAGGUAGUUGUUAUUCUGAUCACCACCUGAUCUUUCUGAAAAUGGGAGAUUUGGUUAUGUGGAGGAAUUCUGUCUAAUUUUUUGGCUAUGUGGAAUGAAAGAAAAGACUGCCAGAAUAUUGUUCAAUAAAUCCAGAGUACUUCUGUUGCUGGUUUUCCUAUGCUUGCCUUGCAGAAAAAGCUUAAGGCACUCAAAGCAGCAUUGAUUGAGUGAAAUAAAAGUACUGUUUGAAAUGUUUAUGUGCAGGUUG